UACGGAGGGGGCUAGCGUUAUUCGGAAUUACUGGGCGUAAAGCGCACGUAGGCGGACCAGAAAGUCAGAGGUGAAAUCCCAGGGCUCAACCUUGGAACUGCCUUUGAAACUCCUGGUCUUGAGUUCGAGAGAGGUGAGUGGAAUUCCGAGUGUAGAGGUGAAAUUCGUAGAUAUUCGGAGGAAUACCAGUGGCGAAGGCGGCUCACUGGCUCGAUACUGACGCUGAGGUGCGAAAGCGUGGGGAGCAAAC
This 250-nucleotide ribosomal RNA is filed under the name uncultured bacterium. RNAcentral describes it as "partial 16S ribosomal RNA". It matches the Rfam family "Bacterial small subunit ribosomal RNA", at positions 524 to 773 of the family's 1533-position model. The record is from RNAcentral.